CGGGAGGCCACCGCUUUCUAAACCAGGGCGGCCGCCCAGACUUUGCCUUCAGCGUCCUCCGGUGGCACACUUCGGGGCUUGCGGAGCAAAAGCCGAGCGCACGAGCAACUCGCUGUGGGUUUGGAGCGAUUGCGUCUUAGGGCUGUGAAAAGCUGCCUCGUGGGGACUUGGGGACGGACAGAGGACGGCUUAACGCCGGCAGGGACCGCAGUGCGACCAGCGGGCACCUCGCCGCCCCUCACCGCCUCCUCUUCGCGGGGCGCCGACUGCGGGACUGCUGCGGCAACCGGACCACAGCCUUCGUGCCUCCCGUCCCCUCCCCCGCGGCCACACCUCAGUCGCAUACCGGCCCCCCCCCCCCCCCCCCCCUUGUCCCCAUACUCGGCCGCCUUCCCUCCCAGGCGCCAACCCUGC
RNAcentral lists this long non-coding RNA (414 nucleotides) under Equus caballus (horse). RNAcentral's name for it is "lncRNA (ENSECAG00000046175.1)". Lineage: Eukaryota; Metazoa; Chordata; Mammalia; Perissodactyla; Equidae. The record is from RNAcentral.